AACGAACGCUGGCGGCAGGCUUAACACAUGCAAGUCGAGCGCCCCGCAAGGGGAGCGGCAGACGGGUGAGUAACGCGUGGGAAUCUACCCAUCCCUACGGAAUAGCUCCGGGAAACUGGAAUUAAUACCGUAUACGCCCUACGGGGGAAAGAUUUAUCGGGGAUGGAUGAGCCCGCGUUGGAUCAGCUAGUUGGUGGGGUAAAGGCCUACCAAGGCGACGAUCCAUAGCUGGUCUGAGAGGAUGAUCAGCCACAUUGGGACUGAGACACGGCCCAAACUCCUACGGGAGGCAGCAGUGGGGAAUAUUGGACAAUGGGGGCAACCCUGAUCCAGCCAUGCCGCGUGAGUGAUGAAGGCCUUAGGGUUGUAAAGCUCUUUCACCGGGGAAGAUAAUGACGGUACCCGGAGAAGAAGCCCCGGCUAACUUCGUGCCAGCAGCCGCGGUAAUACGAAGGGGGCUAGCGUUGUUCGGAAUUACUGGGCGUAAAGCGCA
This 493-nucleotide ribosomal RNA is filed under the name uncultured bacterium. RNAcentral's name for it is "bacterial SSU rRNA". It matches the Rfam family "Bacterial small subunit ribosomal RNA", at positions 28 to 569 of the family's 1533-position model. The record is from RNAcentral.